RNAcentral lists this ribosomal RNA (671 nucleotides) under uncultured Gemmatimonadota bacterium. RNAcentral's name for it is "SSU rRNA". It matches the Rfam family "Bacterial small subunit ribosomal RNA", at positions 246 to 915 of the family's 1533-position model. The record is from RNAcentral. Lineage: Bacteria; Pseudomonadati; Gemmatimonadota.
UAGUUGGCGGGGUAAUGGCCCACCAAGGCGACGACGGGUAGCUGGUCUGAAGAGGAUGGCCAGCCACAUUGGGACUGAGAGACGGCCCAGACUCCUACGGGAGGCAGCAGUGGGGAAUCUUGCGCAAUGGCCGAAAGGCUGACGCAGCGACGCCGCGUGUGGGAGGACGCCUUUCGGGGUGUAAACCACUGUUGCCCGGGACGAACAGCCCUUUUCGAGGGGUCUGACGGUACCGGGUGAGGAAGCACCGGCUAACUCCGUGCCAGCAGCCGCGGUAAUACGGAGGGUGCGAGCGUUGUCCGGAAUCAUUGGGCGUAAAGGGCGCGUAGGUGGCGCGGUAAGCGUGCGGUGAAAGCCUGGGGCUCAACCCCGGGUCGGCCGUGCGAACUGCUGGGCUUGAGCACUGUAGAGGCAGGCGGAAUUCCGGGUGUAGCGGUGGAAUGCGUAGAGAUCCGGAAGAACACCGGUGGCGAAGGCGGCCUGCUGGGCAGUUGCUGACACUGAGGCGCGACAGCGUGGGGAGCAAACAGGAUUAGAUACCCUGGUAGUCCACGCCGUAAACGAUGGGCACUAGGCGCUUGGGGGAGCGACCCCCCGAGGGCCGGCGCUAACGCAUUAAGUGCCCCGCCUGGGGAGUACGGCCGCAAGGCUGAAACUCAAAGGAAUUGACG